CAUGGCAAGAAGUAAAUCUUCCUAUCUUACCUCAGGCUAAUUCAGCAUAAAGUAUAUGAGACAAGAAUUUACUGUUCAAUUUGCAGCUUGCUUAUUGAAGAGCAACAUAUUCAUUUCAGGAGCAAGCUCUAAUUUUAGAUCAGGAUUGAAGGUGCUAUGAAAACAAGAAUGCUGCAAUGAACAGUAGGACUUUUCAAGAUCAAUCCAAGUAUAGUUCUUGAACUACAGUACCCAAAAGAUAAAAGGAACCAUGGAAAAGGCUUUAUUGCAGUAAACUGUACCCAUUGCAGUGGUGAAAUCGGACAAUAGAAGCGAGGGACAACUGUUUUUCCAGGGAUCACAGGGUAUCAUAAUGAAAGGGCUUGAGGGUACCUCACAGGAAGGAAUUCCCAACUGUGCCUUUCUGGGUUCUCAAAGGAGUACUGCACUUGGGUAGUGCCAGCAUCUACCAAUCCAAGAGAAAUUGGUGCAUCCCACUAGGAAUGAAAUAAUGCUAUGUGGCCUCUUGGUCUUUAUCAGUGGGUUAGCGUGACGAGUUCCUCCUGGGUGCCACCUGGAACUGGGGUAUAAUUGAGCCCCCUGACCCACCAGUCUGGGGUCUCUUUCACGUUGUACUGCUGUGACAAGCUGCAAAGCCUUCCAGCCUACACUCUCAUCAGCAUUCCUACAGAUGGAGCCAGCAGCAACCAGGACUGUUUUCAGUAUCUAGGGGUGUUCCUUUCCAUUGAUGCAACACAGAACCAGCUUGAGCCCCGCCCAGUAACCUUGGAAAAUUACGCACCACCCAUGAGCGGACUUUAAUGGCUACACCAGAACCCGACCCUGAAACCUCACCACUCAUGAGGAAGACUGAUGAGCAUGAUGCCCUCUUUUUUUCUGCUCACCCUGGAAGAGGAAGGUAACUGUAGCUCAUGGGAGUUGCCAGCAGACAAGUUGAACAGAAAAGACGUUGCACAGGGAGAAGCUUUUCAAAGAUGGUGAUGGCUGUAUCAUAAGAACCAGCACCAUGACUGUGUGACUUGGACUUCAGAGAUAUAUGCUUCAAGCUCUGGGUGCUGACCUGUGUUUAGAAAGGUUAUUAAAUGCUGUUAUUGCCAUAGGUUAUGCUUCACGAUGUCUGAGCCUAACCCAGGAAAAUUUUGCACAAAGAGUGACCUUGGUAAAUGCUGUGCAAAGUACUCGAGCCCCUGACAGUGUUUUAAAGAAAAUGACCAAACUGGAGGAUACCGCUUAGCACGUUAUAUUGACCAUCUGGUCUGCACAAAAAAAGGUUACAGAAUCUUGCUUAGGAAAAAGACUACACCUCUACCUGGAUAUAAUGCUGUCCUCAGGAGCAAAAAAAAAUCUUACCGCAUUGCAGGUGAAACCAUGUUCUCGAACUUGCUUUGAUCUGCCGGAGUGCGCACCCCCCUCCCCCCGAGCACUGAUUUACCGCGUUAUAUUCGAAUUCGUGUUAUAUCAGGUCACGUUAUAUCUGGGUAAGAUACAAUUGCAAGAAAUUUAAAAGGAUUAUGUUAGAGAAUGGGGGAAACAAUCAUGUGAUAUAAAAGUUGGUAGCUAUAAAUAAAAAAUAUCUAUUGAAAAGGGCUUUGUGAUUAUCUAUGUUUCUGUUAGAAGGUCUGUGUGGCCCUUAAGAUAAAAGUUUUUGAUGAAGCAUCUUGGUUUGUUUUCAAGGGGCUGUAUGUCUUUUAAACAAAAAGUUUGUGCAAAUCCAGCUCUUGUGUCUUUGUGUAAAGAGACCUAGGCUAUGUCUACACUUGUCACUUAAAGUGCAAAAUGUCCCUUUUUUGUGCUAAAACCGCUGGAGCGUCUACACCUGUUAAUGACUUUUUGCAGUGAAACUCAGAAGUUUCACCACAAAAAGAAAACCUCCUUCAUGAGAGACACACAGUUCUUUCCGCUGAUCUUUUUGCACUGUUGUGAAAGUGAAGACACAUUCUACCAGUGUAAACACCUUUUGGCCUCCGGAGGAUAUCCCACAGUUCCAAAAGUGACCACUCUGGCCAGUAUCUCCACUGCUCUGACGCCAGGUAAACGGACAUCCUCCCCUCCCCCUGCAAGCCCUGGGAAGUUUGAAACUCCCUUUCCCUUUGCUUGUAGAUGUGGCUGGAAAAGCAGCCAGAUUGAAAGGGGGUUAAAAAAAUGCCACGAAAGAAACAAGGAAGCAGUGGGGCUGCUGGGACAUGAAGCAGGGCAGCAUGGGGCACUGAGCAAGGACCAGAAUGCCUUCCACUCACCCCCACCCCCUUCCCACAAGACCUAUCCAGAGAGAUGCACUGUGGGAUAGCUGCCCUCGAGCGCUGCUCUCAUGGACGAUGGAAGUGCUGGUAGUGUGAACACUGACGCCUGAGGAAUCACGUGAGUACACAAACCAGCGCUUUUCUUUCAUUGGUUCCCUGUCACUGGUGAAACUUACAGCACAGAAAUUCUGCAAGUGUAGACAUACCCCUACUUGCAGCAGAAAGCUGAAAUGUGUGUAGUCAAAUCCUGAGUGGGAUGGGGGUAUGGUCAAAAAACAAAAAAAAAAGUGUGAUGUUUGAGACAUGUUCAGGGGUGAAAGUAACUUACAGGACUUACUGGUUCUGCCAGAGUCCUGAGGGGGGCGUGACCUCAUCUGGAAGAGGCGUGGCCUCAAGCAGAAGAGGCGGGGCCUCUCAAGAUUUA
Molecule: long non-coding RNA, 2664 nt
Organism: Gopherus flavomarginatus (Mexican gopher tortoise)
Lineage: Eukaryota; Metazoa; Chordata; Testudines; Testudinidae
Exons: 5
Source: RefSeq, a predicted model, not a curated record